Molecule: ribosomal RNA, 494 nt
Filed under: uncultured bacterium
Lineage: Bacteria
Description: partial 16S ribosomal RNA
Rfam family: Bacterial small subunit ribosomal RNA
Source: RNAcentral
GAUGAACGCUAGCGGCAGGCUUAACACAUGCAAGUCGAGGGGUAUAGGUUUUCGGACCUAGAGACCGGCGCACGGGUGCGUAACGCGUAUGCAAUCUACCUUUCACAGAGGGAUAGCCCAGAGAAAUUUGGAUUAAUACCUCAUAGUAUUAUGAAGUGGCAUCAUUUUAUAAUUAAAGUUCCAACGGUGAAAGAUGAGCAUGCGUCCCAUUAGCCAGAUGGUAAGGUAACGGCUUACCAUGGCGACGAUGGGUAGGGGUCCUGAGAGGGAGAUCCCCCACGCUGAUACUGAGACACGGACCAGACUCCUACGGGAGGCAGCAGUGAGGAAUAUUGUUCAAUGGACGCAAGUCUGAACCAGCCAUGCCGCGUGCAGGAUGACGGUCCUAUGGAUUCUAAACUGCUUUUGUACGAGAAGAACCACUCCUUCUUGAAGGAGCUUGACGGUAUCGUAGGAAUAAGGAUCGGCUAACUCCGUGCCAGCCGCCGCCGUAA